Molecule: ribosomal RNA, 492 nt
Filed under: uncultured bacterium
Lineage: Bacteria
Description: partial 16S ribosomal RNA
Rfam family: Bacterial small subunit ribosomal RNA
Source: RNAcentral
AGUGAACGCUGGCGGUAGGCCUAACACAUGCAAGUCGAACGGCAGCACAGUAAGAGCUUGCUCUUACGGGUGGCGAGUGGCGGACGAGUGAGGAAUACAUCGGAAUCUACUUUUUCGUGGGGGAUAACGUAGGGAAACUUACGCUAAUACCGCAUACGACCUACGGGUGAAAGCAGGGGAUCUUCUGACCUUGCGCGAUUGAAUGAGCCGAUGUCGGAUUAGCUAGUUGGCGGGGUAAAGGCCCACCAAGGCGACGAUCCGUAGCUGGUCUGAGAGGAUGAUCAGCCACACUGGAACUGAGACACGGUCCAGACUCCUAUGGGAGGCAGCAGUGGGGAAUAUUGGACAAUGGGCGCAAGCCUGAUCCAGCCAUACCGCGUGGGUGAAGAAGGCCUUCGGGUUGUAAAGCCCUUUUGUUGGGAAAGAAAAGCAGCAGGUUAAUACCCCGCUGUUCUGACGGUACCCAAAGAAUAAGCACCGGCUAACUUCGUG